This is a long non-coding RNA of Macaca fascicularis (crab-eating macaque), 1567 nucleotides long. The record is from Ensembl. NCBI's taxonomy places the organism in Eukaryota, Metazoa, Chordata, Mammalia, Primates, Cercopithecidae.
UUGUGGGGGGCGGAAUCCCGAGGGUGGCGUGAGAGACCCAGGGGAGCUCCCUCCGGGCGCUCAGCUGCUGGUCCUGUCUGAUUAUGUUUUGCCGCAUUGAGUCUGAAGUUUAUGUGGAAGUGAACUCGCCCGAGUUGUCCAGUUGGAGUCGUAGCCACUCUUUCAGGGGACCCGGCGACGCCAAUGAGGCCCUGGGCGCGCUCCUUGUCAUUCUUGUCCGAUGUCCCUAUGCAUUUUGCUUUCCGCUGUCAAUCUCACUGUCUCAUUCUCACACCGCAUCAGUCCCCAUCAUCACUCCUCCUCCCCAAAGAGAUACAGAUUGCCCUCAUCUCCGGCAUGAAGAAGUCACGAUUCUGACCCGCCGCCUCUCCAGGGGCGGUGCCCGGGACGGCCACCCAGCAGGACAGCCGGAGCCGGGGUCCCGGCGUCCAGGGGGUCCAGGGCACCCCCGUUAGCUGUAAGGUUUUCCAUCAGGUGUGACUGUCAGUUUGCUGGUCUUCCAAUACCGAAGAAAGGGUGGUUGUGACAAUACCUCUUGCUUCUAAAGAAUGUAUAUUAUGAAACACGGCAGAUUUUUUUUUUCCUUAAAAAACACUACCUGAUACUUUCCUUGUUUGUGGGGAUUGUGGUCACAUGAAGCUCUUUCUGCAUCAGUAUUAAGGUGUGUAUUUGAAUGUCCUCCCCACCCCUUUCCCCUCUGGGCUGUGUAGCUUUGAGGGGCUGGGCGUUUGCUCAUGUCCUUGCUGUCUCGCUCAGAACAUGCUCUGCAAAGUUUUUCUCUGCACUCUCCCCAUCAAGCCCUUUUCCUUCCCCUACCACAAAGGUCUUUGUGAUUCCUCAGCCCGGGAACCCAAGGAGCUGCAAAGUGGAGUCUGGUUCAGCCCCGUGCAAACUCACCCAGAGCUUAACGUUGUCUUUAAAAACACCCUGAGCCUUCCUAACCAGCCAGUGCAGACGUUCUCUCUGGGCCACGAAGCCCCUCGGGUCCUCCCCGUCCCCUGCUCCGAAGCAUACCUCAGUGCAGAACCGCGGAGUCUCUGCGGCAGAAACGCCGUGCAUCUCCGUCUGUUGGCAGUGAGCACGUCGUGCUGGAGACACGAGUUUCUAAGCAGCUGGCACGAGGGCUGCUGACGGCAUGGGUCGUGCUUCAGGGUGGCAAUACCUCUUAGGAACUUAGGGCAGGAAGCAAUACUUCAGCAUUGAAUGUGUGUAAAUAGUUGCUUUGAGUUGCAAUUGCUAUUUUCUCAGCCCCAGCUCAGAUGGAAUUAUAUAUCCAUAUAGAUAUAUGGUAAACAAGCACACACAAUUUUAUCCAAUGCAAACAAAUGUAGAGCAUCAGUUACAAAACCCUCGAAUAGCUUGAGAGUCCCACAGGCUCUGCCACACCUGUGACUCCAUCCACACUGACGUCACCCGCGGGGUCCCACCUGCACAUUUGCACACGGUCCGGAGAGCCAAAGGCCGCGUGCUUCCUGUUACAUGGGCUGCAAUCAUUUGUAGUUUCCAAAGACACGUCUGCAUUUGAAUUUCUAGAUUUACGAGGUAAGGAGUUUUUUUUUUUUUUUUU